GAUGAACGCUGGCGGCGUGCUUAACACAUGCAAGUCGAACGAUGAGGCCCAGCUUGCUGGGUGGAUUAGUGGCGAACGGGUGAGUAACACGUGAGUAACCUGCCCUUAACUCUGGGGUAAGCCUGGGAAACUGGGUCUAAUACCGGAUAGGAGCGCCUACCGCAUGGUGGGUGUUGGAAAGAUUUAUCGGUUUUGGAUGGACUCGCGGCCUAUCAGCUUGUUGGUGAGGUAAUGGCUCACCAAGGCGACGACGGGUAGCCGGCCUGAGAGGGUGACCGGCCACACUGGGACUGAGACACGGCCCAGACUCCUACGGGAGGCAGCAGUGGGGAAUAUUGCACAAUGGGCGAAAGCCUGAUGCAGCGACGCCGCGUGAGGGAUGACGGCCUUCGGGUUGUAAACCUCCUUCAGUAGGGAAGAAGCGAAAGUGAGGUACCUGCAGAAGAAGCACCGGCUAACUACGUG
RNAcentral lists this ribosomal RNA (465 nucleotides) under uncultured bacterium. Its description in RNAcentral is "partial 16S ribosomal RNA". It matches the Rfam family "Bacterial small subunit ribosomal RNA", at positions 28 to 507 of the family's 1533-position model. The record is from RNAcentral.